This 743-nucleotide long non-coding RNA is filed under the name Sparus aurata (gilthead seabream). Its description in RNAcentral is "lncRNA (ENSSAUG00010020354.1)". The record is from RNAcentral. Lineage: Eukaryota; Metazoa; Chordata; Actinopteri; Spariformes; Sparidae.
UGGAUGUUUUUCAAACCUGAACUCUUUUUAAAGCGCAUUACUCUGUCCUGGAAGUUUCUCCUCUCAAUGAUUUACGUUUCGUCUUUUGCCCUCCUGCAGCUGAUGGCCUGCAGAAAUCGGGUAGAGCAGGAGUUGGGUCACUGCAUUGGACUCAGGCUGUAAAUGGCCUUGACUUCACUCUGCAAACGACCGGAGUCCUGAAAUAAAUCUUGCAAACCAAAUGCAUGGUGACGGUUGGUAAAGGACCCGAUGCCUUUCCAAUAUGCACCAAUAAACCGCAGAGUGUCUUCACAGUUGAAUGUAAGAUCAGCACAGAAAAGACAAAACACGAGCAGUGCCUGCUGUAUCAACAUUCAUGGGGCUUUGUGAAGCAGUGUGACCUCAGGUUCACACUCAUGAAAGAGAAUGAGACUCUGUUUCUCCGACUGACCAGUUUAACACCAUUGGAUAGCGGCAACUACACCUGUGUGUGCUCACGGCCUGAGAAAACAUAUAUUCUACCGCUGAAUAUCACUGUGGAAGGUACAUUUUUGACUGAUUAAUCAAAAUGUAUUCUGUUAACUUCAGAAUUGAAAUCUUAAUAAUGUCUUGAAAUGUUAAAUUUAAUUCUCAGCCAAUGUCUCUGUGAAUGAUGCAUUUGUUGCAUUUUUAUGGAUUUCCCUUUUUUUGUUUAUUGAUGAGGUUUUGAACAUUUUGACUUGAUUAUUUCCGUUUGUAUGUUAAAAAUGAUUAUGAAGGGAAGG